Molecule: ribosomal RNA, 486 nt
Filed under: uncultured bacterium
Lineage: Bacteria
Description: partial 16S ribosomal RNA
Rfam family: Bacterial small subunit ribosomal RNA
Source: RNAcentral
AUUGAACGCUGGCGGCAUGCCUUACACAUGCAAGUCGAACGGCAGCACGGGUGCUUGCUCCUGGUGGCGAGUGGCGAACGGGUGAGUAAUACAUCGGAACAUGUCCUGUAGUGGGGGAUAGCCCGGCGAAAGCCGGAUUAAUACCGCAUACGAUCUACGGAUGAAAGCGGGGGACCUUCGGGCCUCGCGCUUUAGGGUUGGCCGAUGGCUGAUUAGCUAGUUGGCGGGGUAAAGGCCUACCAAGGCGACGAUCAGUAGCUGGUCUGAGAGGACGACCAGCCACACUGGGACUGAGACACGGCCCAGACUCCUACGGGAGGCAGCAGUGGGGAAUUUUGGACAAUGGGCGAAAGCCUGAUCCAGCAAUGCCGCGUGUGUGAAGAAGGCCUUCGGGUUGUAAAGCACUUUUGUCCGGAAAGAAAUCCUUGGCCCUAAUACGGUCGGGGGAUGACGGUACCGGAAGAAUAAGCACCGGCUAACUACGUG